This 429-nucleotide ribosomal RNA is filed under the name Bacteroidota bacterium. Its description in RNAcentral is "Bacteroidetes bacterium partial 16S ribosomal RNA". It matches the Rfam family "Bacterial small subunit ribosomal RNA", at positions 355 to 776 of the family's 1533-position model. The record is from RNAcentral. Lineage: Bacteria; Pseudomonadati; Bacteroidota.
UAGGGAAUCUUCCGCAAUGGACGCAAGUCUGACGGAGCAACGCCGCGUGAGUGAAGAAGGAUUUCGGUUCGUAAAACUCUGUUGUUAGAGAAGAACAGCGCAUAGAGUAACUGUUAUGCGUGUGACGGUAUCUAACCAGAAAGCCACGGCUAACUACGUGCCAGCAGCCGCGGUAAUACGUAGGUGGCAAGCGUUGUCCGGAUUUAUUGGGCGUAAAGCGAGCGCAGGCGGUCAAUUAAGUCUGAUGUGAAAGCCCCCGGCUCAACCGGGGAGGGUCAUUGGAAACUGGUUGAAUUGAGUGCAGAAGAGGAGAGUGGAAUUCCAUGUGUAGCGGUGAAAUGCGUAGAUAUAUGGAGGAACACCAGGGGCGAAGGCGACUCUCUGGUCUGUAACUGACGCUGAGGCUCGAAAGCGUGGGUAGCAAACAGG